This 6441-nucleotide long non-coding RNA is filed under the name Sus scrofa (pig). RNAcentral describes it as "lncRNA (ENSSSCG00035011888.1)". The stretch from base 349 to 413 matches the Rfam family "mir-1255 microRNA precursor family". The record is from RNAcentral. Lineage: Eukaryota; Metazoa; Chordata; Mammalia; Artiodactyla; Suidae.
GGAGUCUUCUUAUGAAAGAAACACGUCUCCCAAGGCUUUGGCUGCCAUAGGUAGUGAUUCCCGUGGUGACCUGGGCAAAGUCGUCUGAAAAUAUCUGGGAGAGGAUCGCCCCUCUAGCUGCCGUCAGAGCAGGUGUGACUCAUGGAAGAGGUUAAAAUAUCCACUUUAGUGGGAGUUUGGAAGAAACAGAUCCAGAUCGUCCUGGAUGACUUUGAAGGGUUCAAGACGUCAGUGGAGGAAGCAGCUGCAGGUGUGGAGCAAAUAGCAAGAGAACCAGAAAUAGAAGCCUGCAAACGUGACUGAACUGCUGCCAUCUCGUGAUAAAGCCUUAGCAGAUGAGGAGCUGCCUUUUAUGAAUGAGCAAAGGAAGUGGUUUCUUGAGAUGGAAUCAGCUCUGGUGAAGAUGCUGUGAAGAUGUUGAAAUGACAACAACGGACUUAGACUACUCCAUAAACUGAGCUAAGCAGCAUGGGGCUUGAGAGGCUGAGUCCGACUUUGAAAGAAGUUCUAAUGUGGGGAAAACGCAAUCAGCAUUGCGUGCUACAGAGAAAUCGUGCAUGACAGGAAGAGUUAAUGCAUUUGGUAGCCUUCGUCGUGGUCUUAUUUUAAGAAAUUGCCACAGCCAGCCCAGCCUUCAGCAGCCCCCGCCCUGAUCCAUCAGCAGCAUCAAUGUGCAGGCAGGACCCUCCACCAGCAAAAAGACUGUGACUCACUAAAGCCUCAGAUGAUUGUUCAACCUCUUUAGCAAGAAAACACUUUUUAAAAUUAAGGUAUGUAUGUGUUUUGUUUUUGUCUUUUGUCUUUUUAGGGCCACACCUGUAGCAUAUGGAAGUACCCAUGCCAGGGGUCGAAUUGGAGCUGCACCUGCUGGCCUACUCCCCCGGCACAGCAACGCCAGAUCCGAGCUGCGUCGGCAGCCUGUUCUGCAGCUCGACAGCAACGUGCAGGGAUUGAACCCGCAUCGUCAUGGAUACUAGUCGGGUUCGUUACUACCGAGCCACAAUGGGAACUCCGGUAUGUACAUGUUUUUAAACAUGUAAUGGUAUUUUGCACUUAAGAGAGACUACAGGAUGGUGUAAACACAGUUUUUACAUGCACUGGGAAACCAGGACAUUCCCGCGGCCUGCUUUAUUGUGGGGGGCUGGAACCAAACCCACAAUAUCGUCGAGGUAGAACUGGACACGAGGCAGGAUUGUUGUUUUUAUUGUUGUGGGUUACAAGACUUAUCCUAAUAAAUAAUUAAUUUCUGCCCCUUAGACGGUACCUCACCCUUUUCUCAGAAGUUCAGGGAAUUUGGAGGGGAGCCCGCUGAGCAGGAUGCUGGUUGCUUCCUCGGAAGUCUUUGGCCUUGUAAGGAGCUGUGUGCCAGGCACCGUCUGUGGAGAUGAUUCUGUCAACGUGGUGUCCCUUCUGGGCAGCACGAGGAUGAGCCAAAAGCACAGGAUCCCCGUAGACCAGGCUUCUGCCCUGGGAUGUUUCAUGGAAUUUCCUCAGGUCAAGAGAUGCUAUUGGGAAGAUCCUUUCUGACCCUUGAUAACUGUGAGACACUUCAGACAAAAUCAGCUGGUCUCUGUUGGCUGAUUUAGAGCAAGUAAACUAAGCUCUGAGCUUCAGCUUCCUCCUCCCAAAAAUGGCGUUGAUGAUAUAUACUAUACGUAUCAUAGGGCGGUUUGAGAGUUGAAAGAAACAAAGCAUGAAAAUAGCGCAAUGCCUACCAUAUAUUAAGCCUUCAGUAACUGACAAGCAUUCUUUAUAUUUUUAACAAAGAUAAACUAUGGAUCAGCCCUUGGUUGGUUGGCGAAAUUCUUGUUCUUUCCAGAAGCACUCAAGCUGGGAAUAAUAAGUUAUUUCAUUAGGGAUGUGUCAGAUUUGCUGUUGGGAAAAAGCUUUAGAACACGGUACCGUGAACACAGCCAAAGAAGCAAAGCAAACAAAAUAUCGUUAUCACAUCCAUAACCACCCCUGGAAGGCUUUUCCUCAUAGGCAUACCUCCAAUAUUAGUUGAAUUGAGGAGACAUCGGUGCUGGAAGAAGAUCACUUGUUGGCAGUGAGUAAAUGCCUUCUAUAAUUUAUCUCACCUUUCAUUGCCUUUUUUUCUAGAGAAUAGCUUUAGAAGAUCCUUCUUUUUUGAAUAUUGCAAAGAAUUUUAAUUCAUAAUGAAAGUAUUAAGCGAAAUAAUAAUAAAACAAUUUUUAAAUAAAACAUUUAAAACAAUUUAAAAACACAGCAGGGCAUAAAAGAGCAUUGCAAUGUUUGUAUAAAUACACACAUUGUAAACUUCGCAGCUUCGGGAAGCCACACUUUUACAUUCUGGAGCUGUGCACUUACAGGCAAAUAAAAGAAGGCAAAGGAACAAAUUCUUACAUAGAGUUACAGCCUGGACAGCUACUUCCCUAGAGUUUUAUCACCAAAGAGAAAAUAAGUAAUUUUUACAAAGUUGAAAAAAUAGAAACAAUUCUUUGCUUUUCAAAGUAUCCAAGAAUUAUACUUCAGGAAGUUUUUUUUCCUUUGAAGUUCAGUUUCAGUGUGCACCCUAAAACUGUAAACAGAGAUACAGAUGAAACAGUACAAAUCCACAGUCCUCAUCAGUGUACUUGGCUACAAGAAUCAAUUAGGUGCUCAGAGCUGGGGUGGGGAUGGUGUCAGCUGCUGUGUGUUGCGUUUGCUGCGUGUCCCAGGCUGCCGGUAGUGGCCUUCUCUUUACUAGCGGUUCUUGGACUUUCAAGGAAGGUGUGUACUAUGUUCUGCCGUGAAUUUAUAGCCCAUGGAUGAAACCCGGGUCCUAAUUUCAAAGCACUGUUAUUCCUGUUGGCGAGAUGACAGCAUUUGUGGUGCCCUCGGCUCCGUGGCACACGGGGCUCCGCGCUGCAGCCACUGGGACAAACUAGGAAAGACCUUUGUCCUAUAAGCUGUAUUUUCUGGUUGAAAGAGUGGGACAUCUGUAAGUUCAAGACUGACCUGAGGACAAAACGAUUUUCGUCGUGGUCUGGCUGUAGGGAAGGAUGUAAAAUUUACCCAAGUUUCGGAUCAGCCCCUUCCUGCUGGAGCCCAGCCCUCACUGUUGCGCUCAAACUUGAACGUGUGUUUGAGUCACCGAGGGAGCUUGUUAAAAUACGUAUUCUUGUUUCUUGGGUCUGGGGGGCCAAGAUGCUCAGCGGCUGGCAAGGUUUCGGGGGGAAGGCAGCUCUGUCGGCCCACAGAGCGCAGCCAGAAACAAGUGUCGGGAGCCGAGGUUGCCAGAGUCCCCUGGGAACUUCCUUCAGUCUCCUUUGCAGAUGGCAGAUUGCCCGCCCACGCGAGGCUCUGGGGCUUUUCCCCUGCGCCCAGACUCCCGGCCCACAGUCAGUGGGGUCGGGAGAGCCCCGCCCGCUUGCAGUGGGACCGCUGCUCGCCCCGCUCGGGGCGGGGAGGACGGUGAGAGCAAGGAUGAAAGACAGGAGUACACGUGUCACCGGAAUCAUGCCGCCCCGCUCGUGUUCCGAGUGUCCCUCCAAGUCACAUGAUAGACCAAGGUUCUGGGGUUUCCCGAGGACUUUCGAAAGGCAGCUUGAGAGAAAGUGCAUCUGUCUGAGUUCUCCUGGUUGGGCCAUCAGUUCUACUGUGACAGUGUCUGUCUUCCUGGCACCUGGCACUAGGCCGUACAGUCCAGGAGGUAAACAUUAUAAUGUGUGUCAGCCACUAAGAAAGAAGAGACAAGGGCAGAUAAUUUCCUGUAAUCUCUUAAAUUUUUAUUUUGAAAAACUGCAAUCCUUGAGAAAAGUUGAAACAUUGGUACCACAGAGUCACCACUUUUAUUUUAUUUUAUUUUGUGUCUUUGCCAUUUCUUGGGCUGCUCCCACGGCAUAUGGAGGUUCCCAGGCUAGGGUUCAAGUCGGAGCUGUAGCCACUGGCCUACACCACAGCCACAGCCACAGCAACGCGGGAUCUGAGCCGCGUCUGCCGCCUACACCACAGCUCACGGCAACGCCAGAUCCUUAACCCACUGAGCGAGGCCAGGGAUCGAACCCGCCACCUCAUGGUUCCUAGUCGGAUUCGUUAACCACUGCGCCACGACGGGAACUCCACUGCUUUUAAAUAUUUGACCAUAUCCUUCCCGUUUGGUGCUGCUGUUGAACCACUUGCAAGGAGAAGCCAUUGUGACACUCCAGCCCAAACGUUCAGUGCGUGUCAUUUGAGGACUCUCCACAGUGACUCUGACGGCAGCAUCCUCAAGACAUUUAAUAUAUAUGACCAUGCAAACUCUCCCUCUUGAAAUAAAAAUGCCUUUUACAGCUCUCCAUAUUGACAGGUUUUAUUUUUUAAAUUAUUUUUAAAAAUUGAAGUAUAGGUUAUUUACAGUAUUAUAUUAGUUUCAGGUGUAUAGCAUAGCGAGUCCAUAUUUUUAUAGAUUAUCCUCCAUUUAAAGUCGUAAGGAUAGAUUUUGUCAUUCAGACUCUACUAAAAUAUCACUAAGCCGUCUCAGUCAAUAAUUCUUAAAGUGUUGUAUUUCUUCCUUUGGUGGAGUGGAGUUAAAACCUUUGUGCUUUUUUUCCCCAAAAUUUAUCAAAAAAAAAAGCAAAACAAACCCACUGCAGUUGAGAUACACUGCCAUUGCCUCGGACCAAGUACUGUUGGUUUAGGGAUUUCUUACGUUGAGCCAACCCAUGGAAAACAGGAAAUUACAUGCGUGGAGUACUGAGCAGUUAACGUGUGGUCAUCAUCUUCCGUGUUAGUAGCUUCUGCUUUUACCCAAAGGUACUGCAACUAUGUGAGCAUAUGACGGAUGAGAUCAGAUGAGAUGGAUGCCUGUCUUUUCUAAGCAGAGCUUUCUUUAGGAUUGAUUCCUGCCGCUCUCCUAGCUACACGGGAAGUAUUUUUAAGGAUAUGCCACCGUGACUUUUCAGCAGUUUCUUUUAGCCUGCUUGAUGAUCUUUUAAUGGAAGUAAAGCUAUAUGUAAACAUAUAAUCUUAGAAAUUGAGGUUUUUCUUUUUUUCAUUCUCAUUAGGAAAAUUUUUUUUCUUUUUUUUCUUUUUGUCUUUUUAGGGCCACAUCCGCGGCACAUGCAGGUUCCCAGGCUAGGAGUCCAGAAGGAGCUACAGCUGCCGGCUUACACCACAGCCACAGCAAUGCGGGAUCCUUAACCCACUGAGUGAGGCCAGGGAUGGAACCUGAGUCCUCAUGGAUCCUAGUCGGGUCUUAACCGCUGGGCUACGGCGGGAACUCCCCCUCCGGAAGUACUAUGGGCUGAUAAAACGUGUUGUGGCCUACCAAGCGUCUUCUUUGGGAACACGCAUCUGAACCAGCCCUUCCCCACCACGGCUCUCAAAUCCUGCCCCUGUGGCUUUGGGGUGCGUCGUCUGUCAUUCUUGGUGGGAUGGGGAACGCGUGACAACAACCUCCCGGGCUCGGGCUCGUUAGGAUUGGAUGAGAGGAGGCGGACGGCAUGCUCAGCGCAGGGCCUGGAGUGUACUCAUCCCUCAGCGGAUGGGAGCCCAGACUUUAAUAAGAACCGCUCUUGUCGCUGCCACGACUGUGACCUCGGUUCCGCGUUCGGGCCAAAGAGGUCGCCUGUACGCAGACGGUGAGGGGCUGAGGUGGCCAGCGCGGUGGGCGGAGGAGCGCGACCCGGGUGGCUCAGGAUGGGACCCGCGUCCCGUUCCCAUCCGGCGGUGCCACGUGCCUGCUGUAGGACACUGGCAAGUCGGUUCGCUCACCUUCACGUCGGGGCGACGAGCGGGGGCGACGAGCGGUGCCUGCCUCACUGGGGGUGUCGUGGGUGAAAUGAGACGAGGAUGCAAAACGCUUUGCCCAACGCCUGGCCCGGAGUCGGGUUUCGGUACAUUUCCGCCAAGAUAAAGGUGGUGUCCGGAGCCUCUGAGCAGGUGAAUUUCCUAGUGAGACCGAAUCUUCUGAACGGCUCCUCCAAGCAGGGCUUCUGGUUUCGUCCAGGGCCGGUCUCCCGGUCUGAUGCCGGGAUCUCCUGCCCUGACGCGGCCGCCGGCUCCCCUCACCUGUCCCUGGUCUCUGCGCCGCCGCCGCAGUUAGGUGGCCGCAUCCGGGUAGUUUUCUUACCUGUUUGUUGCAGAUAGAGUCCCCAUUGAUCCUUUUCAUAUGUUUAAGUUCCUUUCUCAAUAAUUGUUCCUAUGGUUUGUCCUGUUUUUAUCAGGUUUUAAGAUUACAGUUAUGCUAACUCCCUAAAAUGAAUCAGGGAGUUGGCAGCUUUUUCUGUGGCUCCGAAGAACACAAAUAACAUAAAUAUCACCUGUUUUGACAGAUUAAAUAGAACCCAAUUACAGAACUAUCUGGUCUUGGUACAUGCUUCUGUGGCGUAUCUUCUUUUCUUUAUGGGAGACUUUUCAUUCUCUCUCCAGUCUAGCAGUUUGUAAUUAUGGGUCUCUUCAGGGUUUUUUUGUUUUGUUUUUUUACCUUUUCUUAGGACAACUUUGAUACCUUCUAUUUUC